This is a long non-coding RNA of Condylostylus longicornis, 673 nucleotides long. RefSeq lists it as uncharacterized. The transcript has 4 exons. NCBI's taxonomy places the organism in Eukaryota, Metazoa, Arthropoda, Insecta, Diptera, Dolichopodidae. The record is from RefSeq and is a predicted model, not a curated record.
CGCAUUGUGUUACAAAAUUGAAGAAAAUUUUUCAGUUAGUGAAUUAAAAAAAAAUUUUUUUAUUCAAAAUAAUUAAAUUAAAAAUUUUUAAAUUUAAAUUCAAAAUUAAUAAGUUAAAACAAGUUCAAAAUUAAUAAUUUAAAAAAGGAAUUUAGUGAAUUUUGUGCUUUUUUAAAAAAAAAAACAAAAUAAUUCAGGAACAUUGGAAAAAGGAGUACAUCUAUAAAAAUGAGUAAACAAUUGACGACCAAAGGCUGUAGUAUAAUUAAAUAUGAGGGGUAUGAAUACAUACUUAAAAGUUACAAAUGCAGGGUUAGCUUUAAAGAAAAAUACCCUGCAUUUAUAUAUGUGUUUGGGAACGGGGACAUUAAAAAAAGGGAAUCCAAAGUAGUACACACCCACGAGAGGCCGGACAAAUAAAACGGGGUGGUCGAAGCAGCUAUAACAAAAAUGAAAGAAGCUAUUUUACUUUCGACGACCACAUCAAGAUCUGUAAUUAUGGAUGUAACAUUUAAAAUGUCGGAAGAAUCUAAGUCCCUUCUGCCAUCUGAAAAAAGUUUGAAAGCGACUCUAAGGCGUCAUUACAAUAAAUAUUAUAAGAAAAAUCCUUCCGACAUACCUGAAGAUCUCAUGCAACAUACAUAUGUACAUAUAUAAUAUUUUGUAUUAAAGA